CCUCUGCUCCCCUACGUCACCUACCGUCGAGCAAGCUCGUGUGCCCACGCGUCCACGGCUCCGGUGACGUGUAACGCGGCCGUGCUCACCCAACCGCCUUGCACGACUAUAUAUAGCCCCUCCCCACGGCUCCCGAGCACGUCAUCAGCUCCACCUUGCUCCCAGGACCCCGCCUAACCACUCGCCCGAGCUCGGGGACACUCCUAGCCCUCCGCCACGGUCGCUGGCAUCCCCCUCCUAAAUUCGCUCAAGCCAGCGCUCCCCUCUCACACCGUCCACCUCCAUGAGCUCCACUAUACUCCGGCGGACUCUCCCAGCUUCUUUCCUCGACCGCCGAAGCACCCGAGCCCCUUGUCCAUCUUCGACCGCCGGCGUCCGCCGUGGGAGUCGGAGCUUUGCUCCCUCCAUUGCUUCCCGGCGGGAACGAGCCCUCCAGGCGGGAGCGGCCCAUCUCCCUGAGUCCAACGAUGCCCGGAUCCUCGCCUGAGAUGGCCCGUGCCACCGGGGGUCGCUGCCGGCACGCGCGGCCGUCCACUACAUCGCGGGCGGGCGCGAGCAUGAAGACGAAGGCCGGGCCAGGCGAGCCCCACCUCACGUGACCCCACCAGUCAGCCUCCCAGGAGCCGGCCCCGCCACUGCUGACUGGGAUAAGUGGACACGGCUUUCAGAAAACGCACUUUCUCGUUGUCCCCCUUCGAGAGAGAACCCUUUCCGGUGAUUCUUUCCGCGACUUCACCGCACAUCUUCCCGGAGCCUUCUUCACCCCAGGCAAGCCACAACACCCAUUUGCAUGAUGGCCAUGCAGUAGCCAUGGUUUUCAACUUGAAUAUUUAAUAAAUGUCUAUUUGUUUUGAUAUGGUUGUCGUUAUUUCGGUUAUGCUUAUGGACCGCUGGUUACCGUCAUGAUAUGUUUUCUUGCACUCUGUUAUCAUGUUCUACCUGAUAGUAUUACUUUUAUAUUGGUCAUGCUUGAUAGUAGUACAUGUUGGGUUGGUCAUGUUCUUUGGUGCAUGACUAACAUCGGUUACCGAGUACCGUUGUUAUGCAUGUUCCUUUACAUCCAGUGGGUUAAAUGCUUGCAUGGUAGUUUUAUCAUUAUGUUAUUGCAUGGUACUUAUUGUUGAUGCUAGUGUUCAUGUUAUGAUAUGAGUAGUGUUCUAGUUGUGAUUUUCAUGCUCGUCAGUAUGCCAUGCUCAUCUAGAUAAAUGGUUAAAUGUUAUUGUUAUGCUCGUUGAUUAUUAUGCACCCCCAUGCUCAUGUUGAUAUCAUGUUCAUGCAUUAUAGUUGCAUCAUGUUAUUUUUAGCAUGGCUCAGCAUAUGCAUUCAAGUUUAACCGGAUAAUAAUGAACUUGAACAACUGUUGGCUGAGUCAUGGUGCCACCAAAUCGAGCUUACCGGUGCAACCACACUUGCCUUAUGGGGGGUCCUAACUGGGUCUAUUGUUGUGCCUCUCGCCGGUGCCUCCAAUGAGGGAAGGUUAUGCGCGGGCGCUACCUUGGCCAGGUAGGACGGCAUAAGCCUUGUGAGCCCGAGUUUGGUUAUGUACACUGUGCACAUCUCCCUGUUUUGGACCAUUUAUUGUUUUUGCCACGACGGUGGCCGUUGGUGCCUUUGGUAGGCACGGGGACACCCAUGACUUAGCCCAAAGGGGAGUUGGCCGGAGUGUCCGGGAGAGUGUCAUGGCAGUAGAUCGGUUUUGUCGGAAUGUCGUUGGUCCACGCGAAUGGGAGUGCAAGGCCAUGGGUUCCGUGGUGUGGGUAUAGUGUGCUAACCUCUGGAGAGUGUUUAUUAAAUCUAUCGAUAGCCGCGCCUGUGGAUAUGGGCCCAGUUCGUAGUCGGUCACACUAUGGGUCAACAGUAAUAAUAAUAUGAUUAAUAACAACCCCGGUUCGAUGAUGAAAGAAGUUGGUUGAUAUUUAUGUGAUCAUGAGAGGAUCACCGUGGUAUCGAGGAUACCGCGUUGUGGAUAUUUGUGAUGUUAUGCGAGAAUCACGGGUAAAGGUCAAGCUCCUUGUGGUCAUGUAUUGAUUAAUACGGUAUUGUUUAUACCAAUAUCGACUUGAUCCUGAGAUGAUCGUGUGAUGUCCGAGGAUGGUAAGUGAUGCAGAUGAUGGUUACGAGGUAACCCCGAGUAGAGUAAUUUGAUGCAUGAUAGUGUUAUCAUGUUGCAUGUUAGUAACAUCAUGUUUAUAUGUUCGUGCCAUGCUUAUGUUGUGCUUUUGGUAUCAUGUUGUUCAUGCCAUGUUGUUCAGAUGAUAUCAUGUUAAUCCUUGUUAACCGGUAAUUGCCAUGCUAUUGUCUGUCUUGAUUGCUUUGGUUGUUGUGAGCUUGCAAGUACACUCAAUGUACUGACCUGGCGUGUCAUGCCAGUUUGCAGGUCAUGCCGGAUUUGAUUGUUUGUUUGCCGUGGAUCCCUUGUUUGCGAGCUAGGAUAAGCUUUCCAGCCAGAGUCCCUGCAGAGCGGAGUUCACCACCGUCGUCGUUGUUCCGCUACCAGUAGUCUGUCCGCUGCUUCGUGUUGUUCUGCUGCUUGCAUGGAGCAACCGUGGCACGCGUAGUUUCGCUGUGCCGAUGUAACCCCCUUGUACCCAUAUAGAUUGUAAUAAAGAGCUGAUUUGUUCUA
Non-coding RNA from Triticum urartu, 2623 nucleotides. The record is from RefSeq and is a predicted model, not a curated record. NCBI's taxonomy places the organism in Eukaryota, Viridiplantae, Streptophyta, Magnoliopsida, Poales, Poaceae.